AUUGAACGCUGGCGGCAUGCCUAACACAUGCAAGUCGAACGGCAGCACAGUAAAGACUUCGGUCUUUAUGGGUGGCGAGUGGCGGACGGGUGAGUAACGCGUAGGAAUCUGUCCUGGAGAGUGGGAUAACCCGAGGAAACUCGGGCUAAUACCGCAUGAUAUCGAGAGAUCAAAGGCAGGGGACCCUUCGGGGCCUUGCGCUCUAGGUUGUGCCUACGUCGGAUUAGCUAGUUGGUGGGGUAAAGGCCUACCAAGGCGACGAUCCGUAGCUGGUCUGAGAGGAUGACCAGCCACACUGGGACUGAGACACGGCCCAGACUCCUACGGGAGGCAGCAGUGGGGAAUCUUGGACAAUGGGGGAAACCCUGAUCCAGCGAUGCCGCGUGUGUGAAGAAGGCCUUCGGGUUGUAAAGCACUUUAGGUGGGGAAGAAAGGUAAUGAGUGAAUAACUGAUUGCUUUGACGGUACCCGCAGAAUAAGCACCGGCUAACUCUGUGCCAGCAGCCGCCGUAA
RNAcentral lists this ribosomal RNA (513 nucleotides) under uncultured bacterium. RNAcentral describes it as "partial 16S ribosomal RNA". It matches the Rfam family "Bacterial small subunit ribosomal RNA", at positions 30 to 523 of the family's 1533-position model. The record is from RNAcentral.